RNAcentral lists this long non-coding RNA (1230 nucleotides) under Citrus x clementina. Its description in RNAcentral is "Citrus clementina (C. clementina) long non-coding RNA (CCLE_LNC003130)". The record is from RNAcentral. Lineage: Eukaryota; Viridiplantae; Streptophyta; Magnoliopsida; Sapindales; Rutaceae.
GAGCUUUAUUGCACCAGAAUAACCAUUUUAGAAUAGAGUUCUAGGGAAGAGAAGAAGCAUGGAAAGACAAGACUAACAAAGUGGGCAAUCUUCAAAGUAAAUCAAGGCCAGUUGCCAAAGUGUCAAAAUACAAGGAGAAAACCAAAGGGUCUAAUAAACCUUGCUCGCUUUUUUCUAUAUUACUUUCACCAAAAUUAAAGUUUGCUAGCCAUACUAGAUACCAAUGGUAAGCAUAAUCUAAACCCAAUCUUUCAUCAUCAUCUCAGUAUCCAGUUACAAAUAGACAAUUAAGAAAAACAUAAGCUUAUUAUCAAGAAAGUAUUAGUCAUUUAUCAUGACACUCAAUUUGUAUACAGUGAUAUAAAACUACCAAAUAAUAUUAGGACUUUCAAUUAAAUAAUAGUGCCCAUUAAAUCUGAGAACAGCUGAUUAUUUUAACAAGACUCUUCAAUAAUCCAGCAGGAAAAAACAUGAAAAAAAACUUAAAUAACAUGUAUGAACCAAAGAGUAGAAAGCAACAACUUUUUACUUACAAAUUAAUUCGUCACUACAUGUCAAAUUAAAUUAACACAUUAGAAAAAAAAGAUUGAUCCGAACACAUUAGAAAGAAAAGAUUGAUCCGAUCGAAUCAAUUACCCACAAACUAUGGAUUCAUUCGUCAGAUCCAAAACCCUAACCCCGUCUAAAUUGUUUCUUCGUUAAUAAUCUAAUUAACAAAUAAAAUGGGCAUAUAAACAAAUUAUAGGAGAUGUACACAAUUCACAAGAUAAGCAGCAGUUGAGCAAUAAACGCAAGAAACCAAGAUUGCUCAUCGAACCUUAAUCGUUUCGAUCAAGGCCUCACCACCACUAGCACCGUUCCUCGCACACAGCGUAGGCCGGAAAGGAAAGCACCUUGACAUCCUAACAAAUUUAUACUAGAAAGCUUCAAGCUUUAUUAAUUAUUUUACCCUGCGUUUAAUUUCUUUCCUUGCUUGCAAGAACGAAACCCUAGAGGCGGCGACCGAGACAAUUGAGAAAAAAGGCUUUCGAUUUAUUUCACGCGUUGGACGUCUAUUUAUAGAGUGGAAGCCGAGGUCUUAACCGACUUUUUAUGUCGGUCCGCAUCUUACGCAAAUUCUAAUCAGCAUCGAAUAAGGAUACGUCGACUUCCUUUAAGAAAAAAAAAAUCUCAAUAAGAAAACAUGUUUAAUUAAAGGUUUCAACUAUUUCUUUUUUUAAAUAAAACUAU